This 74-nucleotide transfer RNA is filed under the name Stegodyphus mimosarum. It matches the Rfam family "tRNA". From Rfam's summary of the family: Transfer RNA (tRNA) molecules are approximately 80 nucleotides in length. Their secondary structure includes four short double-helical elements and three loops (D, anti-codon, and T loops). Further hydrogen bonds mediate the characteristic L-shaped molecular structure. tRNAs have two regions of fundamental functional importance: the anti-codon, which is responsible for specific mRNA codon recognition, and the 3' end, to which the tRNAs corresponding amino acid is attached (by aminoacyl-tRNA synthetases). tRNAs cope with the degeneracy of the genetic code in two manners: having more than one tRNA (with a specific anti-codon) for a particular amino acid; and 'wobble' base-pairing, i.e. permitting non-standard base-pairing at the 3rd anti-codon position. Lineage: Eukaryota; Metazoa; Arthropoda; Arachnida; Araneae; Eresidae. The record is from Rfam by way of RNAcentral.
GCCUUCGUGGUGUAAUAGUCAAGUACAAUCGUCUCAUAUUCGAGAGGUCCGUGGUUCGAGUCCCGGCGAGAACA